RNAcentral lists this ribosomal RNA (226 nucleotides) under uncultured bacterium. RNAcentral describes it as "partial 16S ribosomal RNA". It matches the Rfam family "Bacterial small subunit ribosomal RNA", at positions 524 to 751 of the family's 1533-position model. The record is from RNAcentral.
UACGAAGGGGGCUAGCGUUGCUCGGAAUCACUGGGCGUAAAGGGUGCGUAGGCGGGUCUUUAAGUCAGGGGUGAAAUCCUGGAGCUCAACUCCAGAACUGCCUUUGAUACUGAGAUCUUGAGUUCGGGAGAGGUGAGUGGAACUGCGAGUGUAGAGGUGAAAUUCGUAGAUAUCGCAAGAACACCAGUGGCGAAGGCGGCUCACUGGCCCGAUACUGACGCUGAGU